Mustela putorius furo (domestic ferret) is the source of this 110-nucleotide non-coding RNA. The record is from Rfam. NCBI's taxonomy places the organism in Eukaryota, Metazoa, Chordata, Mammalia, Carnivora, Mustelidae.
AUGUGCUCACUUUGGCAAUAUAUACACUAAAAUUGGAACAAUACAUAGAAAAUUAGCAUGGCCCCUGUAUAAGGAUAACACACAAAUAAAGAUAACAAAGUAUGGCCUUU